This 459-nucleotide ribosomal RNA is filed under the name uncultured bacterium. RNAcentral's name for it is "partial 16S ribosomal RNA". It matches the Rfam family "Bacterial small subunit ribosomal RNA", at positions 338 to 795 of the family's 1533-position model. The record is from RNAcentral.
CCUACGGGAGGCAGCAGUGAGGAAUAUUGGUCAAUGGGCGCGAGCCUGAACCAGCCAAGUAGCGUGAAGGAUGACUGCCCUACGGGUUGUAAACUUCUUUUAUAAAGGAAUAAAGUGAGGCACGUGUGCCUUUUUGUAUGUACUUUAUGAAUAAGGAUCGGCUAACUCCGUGCCAGCAGCCGCGGUAAUACGGAGGAUCCGAGCGUUAUCCGGAUUUAUUGGGUUUAAAGGGUGCGCAGGCGGAUUUUUAAGUCAGCGGUCAAAUCGUGGGGCUCAACCCCAUCCAGCCGUUGAAACUGGGGAUCUAGAGUGUGCGAGAGGUAUGCGGAAUGCGUGGUGUAGCGGUGAAAUGCAUAGAUAUCACGCAGAACCCCGAUUGCGAAGGCAGCAUACCGGUGCACAACUGACGCUCAGGCACGAAAGCGUGGGUAUCGAACAGGAUUAGAUACCCGAGUAGUC